ACGCGCGCAGGGCGCGCAGGUGGGGCUGGCGAGGCAAGCUCGCACGGAAAGGAACCGGAGCGCAGGCUGCCGGCUUCGGGGCACGCAAGUUUUGUCUCCUCUGCACGAAGCUUAUUAAUAACAGGCAUGGCUCCGUGCGUGCUCUCAUGCCUCCUAGAAGCGUACUUCCCAGUGUGUUUUGUUUUAAAAUCAGAGGUGCCUCAGUUCUCUGGCACAGGAACUGGUGAGGACCUCCCUUAAACGGCGACUCCAGAGUCCCACGGGCAUUAAAAAAAAAAUGAAAGAAAAAGUUACAGAUGUUAUGUAUAAAGUGUCAGAAUCUAAGUCCCUUCACAACAUCCCAUAAACAAAAUGUGUACUUUGCUCAGACAUAUUAUUUAUAUAAUUCCAGUGUUUGGAGAUUUGUUGAUAAAUUAAGUUUGGAGGGCAAGAAAAAAAUAUGAACACCAAGACAGAUUCAUCAUACAAACCACUCCAGGCAACCGAAAGCUCGCAAAAUUCCACAUUAGCUUAUUUUCUAUUUAAACUUUGAUUUGGUGGAUCUAUGCUCUUCUUUCCCAAUUAUUACCCAGUAAGCCUAUGAUGCCUAGCUACACACACACACGCACACACACACACACACACACGCACGCACGCACACACAGGCACAAUUUAUUACACAAGUAACACACCAUUAUUGAAGAGGGGGAUUCUCUGGGGUUAGGAUAUCUAGUGUCCACUGUAAAAUACACAUGUUUGUCUCCCAGUUUGUGUGGAAAGAAAGAGCCAGAUUCACUGUGUAAUUGUAACAUGUUUUCCCAGCUAAUUCCAAUGCUCACUUAAGUUUAUGUAGGAAUGUUUGUCGGUCUAGCACUCUUUACUUCUGGAACAGAACUGUGCCUCUUCUUCAGACUCUGCCCCUAUUUUUCUAGACAUGUAAUUAGGAAGGGAGGCGUCGUCAUGUGUGGCCUGGCCUCCCUGGUUCCCACAGUUGGUCAGGAGGCAUGUACCUGACUCCUUCUGGCUUCGGGGAUUUGGUCAAGGAGCUGAUGUGUUACCCAAGAGGUGCCAGCCAUUUCCCGACAUUCUUCUAACUGUAGGUUGGGAGUGAACAGAGGCCUCCUCUCUUUCUCUUGGUGGCAAAACUGGACUGUCGGCCACCACUGACCUGCCAAGUGCAGAGACUGUAAAGGAGACCAACUUUCAUGGAGUGACAGACUCAAAGGGCUGAGACUCUCUGUGGCUUUUUAGAGUUCCAGGAUUCUUAUGUGACGUUCUCAAGGCAGUCCCGUUUCCUGCUUUCUGGAAGCUGGGUUAUUCAGCAUUUCUGUAGAUUCUGUGAGGUACUCUGGUAUCCUAAUAAAAUAUACAUUGAUAAAAAUAAUUAACAAAAUGUAUAGAAUACUAUUUGGAAUGCACUUUACAAUUAUGUUAUUUCUAACGUGCUUUUUUCCACAGAAAAAUCUACUUGGGACAUUCAUCAUCAUUUUUAAUAGCUGCAUGUCUUGUUGUUUGAUAAACCAAUUUGUUUUACAUUUUGGUAUUUCCAGUUUUUAAACAUUAUAAAUAAGGCUGUGAUGAACAUUAAGAAGAAAGAACUUUUCCAGAAGCUUCCAGCAACCUUCUCUUGGAGCUGGUUUGGUCAGAAUCCGGUCAUAAGCCCAUUCCAUUUAAACCACCAAUAAAGGGCCAGGGCAGGCGGUUUGACUAAUCUGAGUUCAUUUCUAGAGUUGGGCUAAUUUACAUGUGCUUAUCGGGUAGAGAGUGGGAAUUUUGUUCAAUAAUCAUAUUCUUAGGGCCAAAAAUUAUUCAGUACACAAGUCAUUCCUGCACAGAUGACAAUACAUAUGAACUCUUAGAGAGAAAUGCUAUUUAAACAUUUUGACCUUCAUUUUAGUAGGUACUCAAGCUUACACUGCACACAGAAUGGAUUUAAGAAUAUAGAGUAUAAACCAAAAAAUAGUAUUUUGUAGUCAGAGCCCAUCCAGACCAGUUACUUGGAUUUCAAAAUACACAAAGUAGCUUUAUACAGAGAUCCAAAACUGUAAAUGUCGAUGAACAGUUACAAAAACACACCAGUACUAGGAAAGAAAACCCAAUCUACAUGUUGGUGGGGAACAUGUGUUGGGGUAAGUACAACAAAGCAAGUGGUUACUUGUAGUUGACCCCCUUUUUUUUUAAAACUGGAAGCUGUGUUUGAAAAGACACCAAGAAAGUAAGUCUAAGACAACAUUAAAUUUCCAGAAUUAAACACAUUUUGGGUAUUUACAUAUGUUACCAAUCCACAGUAGGCUGAUGCCCUGUGGGUACUGGCUGGCUGGCAGAGUCCACUAAUACAAAUACACGAGGCCCAUGUGCUUCUGCUUAAUCUCACAUUCAGUCCAAGCCCACUUCAGUGCUCAUGGGUUGGGCCAUGCAUUUGGCCACUUCUAUCUUUUGGGCGAAAAUAAGCAGUAAGUAGGAUCUGAUUGAGUUAUGUUUGGAAGUAUUCUCAACAAAUAAGACAUGUAUGAAGUACCUGGCAGAUAGAAUGAGCCCAAUAAAUGUUAGCUUUUUAAAAAUUCUGUACUUGCAUUGGAUGGAACCCAGAAGUAGCAAUGGAAGCUGUGAUUGCCACCCUGGAAGGCCUGCUUACAACCAUUUUAUUCAAACUUUUGAGGGGAUAGCACUCUGUUCUGGCUCACGGGAUAAAAAUAAGUGCUUACCACUUGUUCAACAGAACUUACUUUGAUGAUGAAAAGUUCUAAAUAUAUGUGCUGUCUUUCGCAGUAGCAACUUAUAAUUACUGAAGAUUGAAAUAUGGCUACUGCAAAAAGGAAUUAGUGACAAGCCUCCCUCCCUGUGAGCGAGUAGUGGAUAUUUUGUUUCUUGGAAGAGCUGCAUUUUGGACCUUACAUAAUCUUCAAAACGGGAGCGAUCUGGACAUGAAUGAGUCACCUGCAAAUCAUACCAAUGUCUGCCCCUGUCUGGGUUACUCAGUUCCCGAGCUUCAAGCCAUCCUGGUAGGUAGUGCUCCUCGCAUAGUGGGCUGUCAAAUACCUGCUUUAUGAAUGAAGAUAAGAAAGGCAGACACGUGUGUGGGUGGGCAGUCUUUUAAAAAGAAAUAAGUUGUGGACCAGGGGGUCUCAAGAUACCUUUAAAAGAACGUCUUUAUU
Myotis davidii is the source of this 3134-nucleotide long non-coding RNA. RefSeq lists it as uncharacterized. The record is from RefSeq and is a predicted model, not a curated record. Lineage: Eukaryota; Metazoa; Chordata; Mammalia; Chiroptera; Vespertilionidae. The transcript is spliced from 3 exons.